RNAcentral lists this ribosomal RNA (587 nucleotides) under Microbacterium sp. Ri3Pt_4280. Its description in RNAcentral is "bacterial SSU rRNA". It matches the Rfam family "Bacterial small subunit ribosomal RNA", at positions 427 to 1027 of the family's 1533-position model. Lineage: Bacteria; Bacillati; Actinomycetota; Actinomycetes; Micrococcales; Microbacteriaceae. The record is from RNAcentral.
AAACCUCUUUUAGCAGGGAAGAAGCGAAAGUGACGGUACCUGCAGAAAAAGCGCCGGCUAACUACGUGCCAGCAGCCGCGGUAAUACGUAGGGCGCAAGCGUUAUCCGGAAUUAUUGGGCGUAAAGAGCUCGUAGGCGGUUUGUCGCGUCUGCUGUGAAAUCCCGAGGCUCAACCUCGGGUCUGCAGUGGGUACGGGCAGACUAGAGUGCGGUAGGGGAGAUUGGAAUUCCUGGUGUAGCGGUGGAAUGCGCAGAUAUCAGGAGGAACACCGAUGGCGAAGGCAGAUCUCUGGGCCGUUACUGACGCUGAGGAGCGAAAGGGUGGGGAGCAAACAGGCUUAGAUACCCUGGUAGUCCACCCCGUAAACGUUGGGAACUAGUUGUGGGGUCCAUUCCACGGAUUCCGUGACGCAGCUAACGCAUUAAGUUCCCCGCCUGGGGAGUACGGCCGCAAGGCUAAAACUCAAAGGAAUUGACGGGGACCCGCACAAGCGGCGGAGCAUGCGGAUUAAUUCGAUGCAACGCGAAGAACCUUACCAAGGCUUGACAUAUACGAGAACGGGCCAGAAAUGGUCAACUCUUUGGAC